UACGAAGGGGGCUAGCGUUGUUCGGAAUCACUGGGCGUAAAGGGCGCGUAGGCGGCUUUAUAAGUCGGGGGUGAAAGCCUGUGGCUCAACCACAGAAUUGCCUUCGAUACUGUAGAGCUUGAGACCGGAAGAGGUAAGUGGAACUGCGAGUGUAGAGGUGAAAUUCGUAGAUAUUCGCAAGAACACCAGUGGCGAAGGCGGCCAACUGGUCCGGUUCUGACGCUGAGGCGCGAAAGCGUGGGGAGCAAACAGG
RNAcentral lists this ribosomal RNA (253 nucleotides) under uncultured bacterium. RNAcentral's name for it is "partial 16S ribosomal RNA". It matches the Rfam family "Bacterial small subunit ribosomal RNA", at positions 524 to 776 of the family's 1533-position model. The record is from RNAcentral.